Long non-coding RNA from Vicugna pacos (alpaca), 827 nucleotides. RefSeq lists it as uncharacterized. Lineage: Eukaryota; Metazoa; Chordata; Mammalia; Artiodactyla; Camelidae. The record is from RefSeq and is a predicted model, not a curated record.
GCCAACGCGUGCUUCGCUGCGCCCCGCCCCCCUCAGGGGAGGGGCGGCGCUCCACCCGUCUCAAACGUUUGCGCGCCAAACCCUGGAGCCACCUGGAGUGUUUGUGGAAAGUACGGUCUCUGGAGCCACACCCCUAGGUGGCCUGAGGCCCGCGCCCAUGAGAAACCUUAGUGCAGAGGAUUGGUGGCUAGUGGUUCUUUCUCGGAAAGCAAGCCCAGAUUCUGGGAGUUUUAAGACUUCCGCCGCACCUACUGAAGCAAAGCUCCAGAUUGUGAAGCCUCGAGCGGUAGUUUCAUUUUGGGGUUGGGAGGAUCGGACCACGGACGGUGUGUAGAACUCGGACCCACACCAAACCACAUUGGCCCUGCCAUUUCUUGCCGCUUGAGUGAACUGUCGCUGUAUUCAGCUUUCCUAUAUUGGCGUCUGCUUUCUACAAUUUUCUAGCAUAAGAAAUGUUUAAAGAGUGCAGGAACUGAAGGUGUGAGACCAAGGACAUACAUCAGAUUCUUAGUUUGAAUUUAAUUUUUCCUUUCCAGUUUGUUGCAAACAGCUGUUACAUUUAACCCAAUCUUGAAUGCACAUGAACAGAAUCAAGAAUAAUGUAGGAAGAACUUCUUGAAUAUCAAAGCAUUGGGACUUUCUUACAAGGUAGUGAGCAGUAACAAUUUUUUUAACUACAUAAGCCAUGGACAAAUGUCAUUUUGGAAGAUUAGUCUGUACCUGAAAAAUUCUUGCACGAAAAUUUAUGGUCUUGGAACUACAUAGAGAUGGUGGUUGCACAACACCUUUUAUACUAAAAUUUUAAUAAAGGUUAAUGGUUAAUUUUA